RNAcentral lists this long non-coding RNA (2107 nucleotides) under Sus scrofa (pig). Its description in RNAcentral is "lncRNA (ENSSSCG00035076999.1)". Lineage: Eukaryota; Metazoa; Chordata; Mammalia; Artiodactyla; Suidae. The record is from RNAcentral.
UUUUUUUUUGUUUUUUUUUUUUUUGUUUUUGUUUUUGUCUUUUUGCUAUUUUCUUGGGGCCGCUCCCGCGGCAUGUGGAGGUUCCCAGGAUGACUUGUUCAAUGGAAUACAAAAAAGAAACAGAACAGUAUUAUUAUGUGCUCCAUUGAUAGAAAAAGAAUGUAUCCCUGUGUGCUCAUCUAUAUAAAUUAUAUCUCUAGACGUUGCCCAAGAGACAGGUGACAGUGAUGGCUCUGGAGAGGAAGCUAGUUGUCUUGGAGACAAGAAUAGGAGGGAUAUUUAGUUUCACUGAAUGCCCUCUUAUGCCUUUUAAGUGUUGUACACUGUGCAUACUUUUUUUGGGAUAAAUACAUUAUUUUAAAAAGAUGGGUGUUAUUGUCAAAUAGUUAUGUAUUUGAAUCUUAGUUGACUACUUUUCUAGAUGUGUUAUUUUAGGCAGAAUCCUUUAAAAAAUAUAUUUUCUCUAUUUUUGGUACUAUAAAACAAAUUGAAUAAAAACACAGAAGAAAAUAACAGUUAUCUAUACUCCCACUUUCAGAAUUAACCCCUGUUAAUAUCCUAGCAAAUAUGCUUCCAUUUUUCAAAGAAAAAUGACUACAGUGAAAAAAGGACACACAGAUUAGGAACUCAAACAAUGCAAAAAGCGCAAAAAUUGAAGUAAAAAAACCACCCUAUAUUCUACAUCCAACAAUGGUAAUGAUGACUGUCACUUCCUAACCAACUUCCUCGGUGUUUCUAAACCCCACCUUUCCUCAACACAGACAUUGUAUGAGGAGAGAAUGAAACACUGAAUGUGAAGAUGGCAGCAGUAGGAAGGAAGCAGUUAAUUAAUGCCAUUGUUAUUACAGGGCAUACACUGUAGUGUCGUCAGUGAUACCACCGUCACCUGUCACAAAUAUUAUUUGCAUAGGGCCCAAACUAGUAUGUGGGACCAGUGGACCUUGAUUCAAUUCCUCUCUGGGUAAUUGUCACUGAACCAGUGCAGUCAAAGGUGUUGAGAGGAACUAGCUGAUGGAUGAGGUGGGAAAAUGAUGAUUAUUAGACACAAAAUCAUCCUGUGAUUACAGAGAAGAAAUUCUUUCUCUUCAAAACUCACCAACCAGUCACAGUAAAAUAUAAAAAGAAGAUUUCAAUAAAAGCAAAGGGUGACUUGAUCACUUCAGUAAGGAAACUGUAAAUUCAGAAGGAAGUCUUAAAUGUCAAAAAUGUCUUUUUUUUUUUAAAUUGGUUUAUUCAAAUAUACAGUUCUCAGUCAAUUUUUGAUUCAGGGAGACAUGAUCCAAAUAUCUAGCAAGGUUUUAAGGUUGAAGUCUAUGCCUACUGUUUAAGCAACUGACCAUAUUGUGACUAUUACUAUCGAAUCUUUCUUCAUCCCAAACUCAAUUUAGAAACAUUCGAGUGCUGUGCAUAUUCCCAUCUAUGUCAGAGUAUGGCUGUCAGAUAGUUAUUGACUGAAAGCCAGCAGUAGUUGGCAAAAAUUAUGUCUAUGCAGUGCACAUCAAGUGGUUUGUGUCAAUGCAUGUGAAGUAAAAAUUAGCACUGCAUUGAUGGUAACCAGUCAAGAAACAAUGUGGAUAAAGACAAGAGACAAGAUACAAUUGGACUUGCCAUGUGGGAAUGGUCUGAUGGAAUGAGUAGAAUGCCUAAACUAGAAUGUCAAUAAACAUAAAAGGCAGUGCCAAGUUCUGACAUUUGUACAUCAAGGUGCAUUGCUGAUGAAACAUUAAAGGAGACUGGGAUAUUGCCACUGUCUCUUUUCAUCUAUACACUGGCAAGUACGGUUAGAAGGAUUUUCCCUUUGGCUCUUUUGUCUGUAAUUAACAUAUAUUACUCCAGGAGGCAGUAAUCACCUUAAUUCAUGCACUUAUCUGGUCUGAAAUUCCAGGUUUAGCACACAAAUGGGAAGUGAAUUACAAAAAAAUUUUUUAUUGUUUCAUAAAAAAAAGGUAGUCAGGCAUAUCCUUUAUAGAAAUAUAUCACUAAUUCUUAGAAUGCUUAAAAUUCCCAAUCUUUCUCUCUUUUUUUUUAGGGCAUCAAAGGGAGAAACCUCAGCACCCUCAUACAUCUGCUUUAAUGUCAAAACAUCAGCCUUAAGGAUUCUGCUUGG